Molecule: long non-coding RNA, 2480 nt
Filed under: Zea mays
Lineage: Eukaryota; Viridiplantae; Streptophyta; Magnoliopsida; Poales; Poaceae
Description: long non-coding RNA (ZMAY_LNC000930)
Source: RNAcentral
CUAGGUUCGUCCUACAAUCAACAUUGCUCUGAUACAACUUCUGUCACACCCAGAUUUAUGGGGGCAAACCCGGGCACGAAUCAAAUGUGUGCUAGGAUCAAGUCUCACACAUAUGAUGACUCAUGGUACAGAAACGAAUGUCACAUCAUUAAUAUAUAAUGUAGUUCUAUACAAAAUAGUCAAAUAAUUAAAUCAUACAAAGACAAAGAUGCAGCAACCAUAGUUGAUUGUGAGACGACGACCUAGACCUCUCACGAACUCAUCACAGCAUCAUGAUCCUUAUCUUGUGGUACCUGUCCUUGACCUGGGGAAAUGUGAGUACAACAAGGGUGAGCUCACAUACGUUCAUCGCUCAACAAGUUGUGGGGAAUAAUGUGCAUGAGCUCACUUACAAUGGGGCUCAUGUGAAGUAAGGCUUACCAAAGGAAAUGGUUAAAGCUGAGCAUUGCUUUUAAAGUUGGUCAAAGUUUUAUUAGCAGUUACUAAGUAUAAGUUGAUACCAACCCAAAUUAAAUAAGAGAUCACAAUUAAUAAUAACACCCACAAUGCAAUGCAUAUGACAGAUUAAGUUUAGUUCCAUAAGUUAAUCAUGCGAGAGUCCUGAGUCACUCUUGACCGUGAGCACGACUGAUAUACCAGUUUUACACUCUGCAGAGGUUGCACAUCUUUACCCACAAGAUGUGUUUUCCGAUUAACCAGGGUUAGCUAGACCCUUAGACACUUCCAAGGUGAAUGCCUAGGGAUCCACUGCGAGGCCUUUCCAAAGUUCCACUAGUUCGAGAAAACCCGCUACGGAUUAAGGAAGAAGGAAGCAUCGGAAUCCCUUGUCCGAAAAGCCAUCGCAGGAGUUCGACCCGAGGACCUCCCUAUACUCUGCAAUGAUGCCUCCCUGCUUGCCCCUUUCGGGUAUGGUAAUCUCUCCCUCUUUCCUAAUUACUUGGCCAAGGGCGUCUCAUUCCACCCUUGUGGUAGCACUUUAUCUCAAGUUAAGCUCCAUGUUUCAAUUAACACGAUAAUCUUAUCAUGAACAAUAAUUAAAUCAACAACAAUAUUGGAACAUGAUCAUAAUUUAGAUAUAACAUUAAUCCCAAAACUAGUUAGAGCAAUAGCAAGUCUACCCAAUAGUUCAUCGGUUUGCAAGGUAUAGGGUAAACAAAACUAGGGAAACCUAUUAGGUCCCAUCCAAUUAACCUGAGCAUGUUAUAGUGAUUAACAGAGAACAUUAUUAGAUAAAGAAGAGUGAUCAAUGGCACAACUUGCCUGUGACUUGAGAUUUUAGGUACUUCACUAAGUUGGUCUUCAGAUUUCUCGUGACCUCACUUCUAUGCGUAGCAAUAUAUACAAUCAAACAAAUAAUGGGUAUAGUAACAUUACACCAAAGCAUAUGAACAAACAAUGUAAGAAUGUCCUACGUGCCGCUACGAGAUUGUAGGUUCGAGAACCAUUAAAAUCGGAAUUAAAACGAAAAAGUUAUGGGUAAAAAAAUAUUUUUAGGCGUAAUAAAUCUAAUAUAUGUUGCAUUUAAAUUAAGCAUGUAUUAAGUUAAAAUAUCUGAGUUGAUAUUAAUCAAUUUAGUUAUUAAUUAUAAUAAGCAUAUGUCACAACUAUAAAUUAUAUUAACUAGAUUAUCUAGUUAAUUAACAUUAAUUAAUUAAAUAAUUAAUUAAUUAAAACAUGUGGCAUAAUUAAAACAAUGUUAUUAAACUUACACAAAAAUUAAUAUGAAACUAACAUAACUUGAACAGUUUAAAACAAAUUAUUUGACCUAUAAGAUAUCACAUUUUUAAUAAACUAGUAGGGUUGCUCAGAAAUAUGUGACAUUGACGGUAGGAAAGGUUUGUUUACAAAUGUAUGACCUAUCUAUUGCCAACUUAUCAUGAUUGUAUUUACUGUUAAAUUUGUGUUGUAUAGCAGUCUUGCAUGUAAAAAAGGGUAUAUGGUGGUGGUUAUUUAUUAGGUGGAAAGCGUCAAGCCUAUCAUAUGGAAAAGACCCCUAACCUACCUUGGUUGUUGCUGAUCAUCUCGGUUUUUGCUGGUCAUUUCGGUUUUUUUAUUAUGAACCAGAGAUCCGAUCGACAAACCGGAAGCGCAGUGACGAAGCUCGCAUGAGCUGGUCACGACGAUGUUCUGGGUUGCCCCGGAAGAUGAACGGACGAUGAGAAAUUACUCGCCAAAGCUGUCGCUAGAGUUAGGGAGGAACUCAAACUUCAACGAGCUGGUCAUAGCGGUUUAUGCCUGCGAGCUUAGCUGGCGGCGGCGAGGUUGGGCCACAGAGAGCGGCUAUGCUGACGAACGCCAUCGACGGACUGGAAAAACUCGAGUGAAUUACUACUUGUAGCAUUAGAUGUUGUACCUCGAUGCGGCACAUGUUGGCAACUCCUCGACAUGGGCGGCAUGCUGUUGACGACGAAUGACGGAGUUGCUCCGGUCUGGCGACCUUGGCAACAAACUUUCUCAUACGAGUUGGCUACUUUCUCAAU